Molecule: ribosomal RNA, 484 nt
Filed under: uncultured bacterium
Lineage: Bacteria
Description: partial 16S ribosomal RNA
Rfam family: Bacterial small subunit ribosomal RNA
Source: RNAcentral
GACGAACGCUGGCGGCGUGCUUAACACAUGCAAGUCGAACGAUGAACCCGGAGCUUGCUCCGGCGGAUUAGUGGCGAACGGGUGAGUAACACGUGAGAAACCUGCCCUUGACUCUGGGAUAACUGCGGGAAACUGUAGCUAAUACCGGAUACGACCCUCGGCGGCAUCGCCAGGGGGUGGAAAGAAUUUCGGUCAAGGAUGGACUCGGGGCCUAUCAGCUAGUUGGGGAGGUAACGGCUCACCAAGGCGACGACGGGUAGCCGGCCUGAGAGGGUGACCGGCCACACUGGGACUGAGACACGGCCCAGACUCCUACGGGAGGCAGCAGUGGGGAAUAUUGCACAAUGGGCGCAAGCCUGAUGCAGCAACGCCGCGUGAGGGAUGACGGCCUUCGGGUUGUAAACCUCUUUUAGUAGGGAAGAAGCGAAAGUGACGGUACCUGCAGAAAAAGCACCGGCUAACUACGUGCCAGCCGCCGCCGUAA